Molecule: long non-coding RNA, 329 nt
Organism: Suricata suricatta (meerkat)
Lineage: Eukaryota; Metazoa; Chordata; Mammalia; Carnivora; Herpestidae
Exons: 4
Source: RefSeq, a predicted model, not a curated record
AAGGAGAACUAUUAUACACAACAUUUCAAGAUGACUGGUUGCACACAAGAGAAUUAGACUGACUGAAAUAUUAGAAUGUUGAAAGGUCUGUGAAUAGGAUUUUGAACAGAAAAAAAACCGGCAAUCUUCAUGCUCUCACUUUGCUCUCAGCAAGAACACCUGGGAUUCUUCAGCCUUGCCAUGUGUGGAGAACAGCCCAAAAAUAGGCCUGCGAACACUUCCAAGAUGGAUUGCUACUCUUUUCGAACAUCAACAACAAAAGAAAUCAACAUACAACAUACUAACCUCCAUCACUACUGAUUGCAGUCACUUUGAAGAUUAAUAUAAUG